UGACAAAAGUCAGCAUUCAUUCAUGAUAGUUAUUCUCAGCAAAAUAGGAAUUGGAAAUUUCCUCAAGCUGAUAAAGGGCAUCUAAAAAAAUGAAAACAAAAAACAACCCUACAGCUAAUAUUAUACCUAAUGCUGAAAGACUGAAUGUUUUCUCCUAAUAUUAGGAGAUAAGAAUAUCCUCUCAUACCACUCCUGUUCAACAUUUUACUGAAAGGCCUAGCCAGUGCAAUAAGGCAAUAAAAAGAAAUAUAGAACAUACAGAUUGGAAAUGAAAAAAAUGAAAUAGUCCCUACUCACUGACAAUAGGAUUGUUUAUGUAAAAAAAAAAAAAAAUCCCAAACCAUCACCAAAAAACCCGACCUAAUUAAUAUGUGAAUUCUUAAUCAUGACAUGUUAUGAAUGUCCAGUUUUCCAUGUGUGUGUGUUUGUGUGUGUGUUUGUGUUUGUGUGUGUAUUUAUGGAGUUAUCAUUCUUGCUUUCUGACUAUCCAGCAUUCAAACAUUAUCAGUAUUGGAGGAGAAUCUCAAAAUAUAUGUCUUUACCAGCAAGCUAAAGGGACCAGAUAGAUAUUUCUUCUCUCUAUUUCAUGGGAGGUAUAACUAUAUGACUGAGUCUUGACCGAUCAGGUGCUCCCAUGCUGGGCUCAAAUUUCAAGGAAGUAAUGAAAUUAUACAGGUGGCUGUUGGAGAUUUCUCAUGAGGACAGCUGAAUCAGGAGUCCCUCAAUGCAGAGGUUUGUGUCCGGGGAUGGUGGGAUUUUGUUUAUAACACUACCAGGCUGGACCAUGAUAUGAGCUGGCUGUGUUCUUGGUUGCCUCACCACCCUUUGUUCCUGCCCUGUUGCCGACCCUAGUUCACCAGCCUUAUUGUUGAGUCUAUAAGCUACCUUCUAAUAAGGCUAUUUUCUACCUGAUAUCCAGAGUUUAUUCCUUCUGUUGUUAUCAACAAUGUGUGUGUGUGUGUGCAUGCGCGCAUGUGUGUGUGUGUGUAUGUAUUAAAAAAU
This 1002-nucleotide long non-coding RNA is filed under the name Homo sapiens (human). RNAcentral's name for it is "HSALNT0211901". Lineage: Eukaryota; Metazoa; Chordata; Mammalia; Primates; Hominidae. The record is from RNAcentral.